CCUGAUGCAGCCAUGCCGCGUGUGUGAAGAAGGCCUUCGGGUUGUAAAGCACUUUCAGCGAGGAGGAAGGGAUAGGCGUUAAUAGCGGCUAUUUUUGACGUUACUCGCAGAAGAAGCACCGGCUAACUUCGUGCCAGCAGCCGCGGUAAUACGGAGGGUGCAAGCGUUAAUCGGAAUAACUGGGCGUAAAGGGCACGCAGGCGGCUAUUUAAGUGAGGUGUGAAAUCCCCGGGCUUAACCUGGGAAUUGCAUUUCAGACUGGGUAGCUAGAGUACUUUAGGGAGGGGUAGAAUUCCACGUGUAGCGGUGAAAUGCGUAGAGAUGUGGAGGAACACCGAUGGCGAAGGCAGCCCCCUGGGUCAAGAUUGACGCUCAUGCACGAAAGCGUGGGGAGCAAACAGGA
RNAcentral lists this ribosomal RNA (403 nucleotides) under Aurantiochytrium limacinum. Its description in RNAcentral is "partial Bacterial small subunit ribosomal RNA". It matches the Rfam family "Bacterial small subunit ribosomal RNA", at positions 382 to 777 of the family's 1533-position model. Lineage: Eukaryota; Bigyra; Thraustochytrida; Thraustochytriidae. The record is from RNAcentral.